RNAcentral lists this ribosomal RNA (255 nucleotides) under uncultured bacterium. RNAcentral's name for it is "partial 16S ribosomal RNA". It matches the Rfam family "Bacterial small subunit ribosomal RNA", at positions 524 to 777 of the family's 1533-position model. The record is from RNAcentral.
UACGUAGGGCGCGAGCGUUGUCCGGAAUUAUUGGGCGUAAAGAGCUCGUAGGCGGCCUGUUGCGUCCGCUGUGAAAUCCCAGGGCUCAACCCCUGGGCGUGCAGUGGAUACGGGCAGGCUGGAGGCAGGCAGGGGAGAACGGAAUUCCCGGUGUAGCGGUGAAAUGCGCAGAUAUCGGGAGGAACACCAGUGGCGAAGGCGGCGACCUGGACGGACACUGACGCUGAGACGCGAAAGCGUGGGGAGCAAACAGGG